RNAcentral lists this ribosomal RNA (468 nucleotides) under uncultured bacterium. RNAcentral's name for it is "partial 16S ribosomal RNA". It matches the Rfam family "Bacterial small subunit ribosomal RNA", at positions 28 to 507 of the family's 1533-position model. The record is from RNAcentral.
GACGAACGCUGGCGGCGUGCUUAACACAUGCAAGUCGAACGGAAAGGCCCUGCUUUUGUGGGGUGCUCGAGUGGCGAACGGGUGAGUAACACGUGAGUAACCUGCCCUUGACUUUGGGAUAACUUCAGGAAACUGGGGCUAAUACCGGAUAGGAGCUCCUGCUGCAUGGUGGGGGUUGGAAAGUUUCGGCGGUUGGGGAUGGACUCGCGGCUUAUCAGCUUGUUGGUGGGGUAGUGGCUUACCAAGGCUUUGACGGGUAGCCGGCCUGAGAGGGUGACCGGCCACAUUGGGACUGGGAUAGGGCCCAGACUCCUACGGGAGGAAGCAGUGGGGAAGAUUGCACAAUGGGCGGAAGCCUGAUGCAGCAACGCCGCGUGCGGGAUGACGGCCUUCGGGUUGUAAACCGCUUUCGCCUGUGACGAAGCGUGAGUGACGGUAAUGGGUAAAGAAGCACCGGCUAACUACGUG